This 212-nucleotide unclassified non-coding RNA is filed under the name Hevea brasiliensis (rubber tree). Lineage: Eukaryota; Viridiplantae; Streptophyta; Magnoliopsida; Malpighiales; Euphorbiaceae. The record is from RNAcentral.
AAAAGGGUAGGCGAGCUCAUAAUAAACAACAGACAUCUUAAAUGCUGUUUGAUUUUCUGAUGCUCGUCUUUUAUGUACAUCACUGGAUAUGUGAAUUGUUUUUUUGGUCAGGUUUUAUAUUAUGUUGGUUGGCAAUUAAAUUAACAAAUGUUCUCACAGUUCUUUCUCAUUUGGGCAAUGGUAAUGGUAGGUAAAGACAAGUUAGUGGUUUU